This 584-nucleotide ribosomal RNA is filed under the name uncultured Paracoccaceae bacterium. RNAcentral describes it as "bacterial SSU rRNA". It matches the Rfam family "Bacterial small subunit ribosomal RNA", at positions 308 to 916 of the family's 1533-position model. The record is from RNAcentral. Lineage: Bacteria; Pseudomonadati; Pseudomonadota; Alphaproteobacteria; Rhodobacterales; Paracoccaceae.
CCCUACGCCCUGCCGUCGACGAUUCCUACGGGAGGCAGCAGUGGGGAAUCUUAGACAAUGGGGGAAACCCUGAUCUAGCCAUGCCGCGUGAGUGAUGAAGGCCUUAGGGUCGUAAAGCUCUUUCGCCAGGGAUGAUAAUGACAGUACCUGGUAAAGAAACCCCGGCUAACUCCGUGCCAGCAGCCGCGGUAAUACGGAGGGGGUUAGCGUUGUUCGGAAUUACUGGGCGUAAAGCGCGCGUAGGCGGAUUAGUCAGUCAGAGGUGAAAUCCCAGGGCUCAACCCUGGAACUGCCUUUGAUACUGCUAGUCUAGAGUUCGAGAGAGGUGAGUGGAAUUCCGAGUGUAGAGGUGAAAUUCGUAGAUAUUCGGAGGAACACCAGUGGCGAAGGCGGCUCACUGGCUCGAUACUGACGCUGAGGUGCGAAAGUGUGGGGAGCAAACAGGAUUAGAUACCCUGGUAGUCCACACCGUAAACGAUGAAUGCCAGUCGUCGGCAAGUAUACUUGUCGGUGACACACCUAACGGAUUACGCAUUCCGCCUGGGGAGUACGGUCGCAAGAUUAAAACUCAAAUGAAUUGACGG